UUACUGGUAUUGGCCAAACACCCGAAUGCUGAUCAAUUAUCUGCAAAAUAAACAAUUUGGAUUUCUCAAAGCAAGAUCACCCUCUUCCGCAAAGAUGUGGCAUAACUCUCCGGAAAAGUCUUGACAUUGUUGAGGGUUUCCUGGCCCAACGAGAAUAAUGAUUAUCAAAUAUUUAUUAAAUAUUUAUUUGAUAAUUGCAGUAAUGUUCGUGGCAACUCGUGGUUUCAAGAGUCACGUGAACCCGUGACUCAAUGUAAAUCAAAAGGGAUACACCAUGGGCUCAUACACGAGUGAUUCGUUGCACGUAUCGUGAGCUUAAGACUCAACGGUUAAUCAUUCCACCCCUGGUAUCUAAACACGUGAUGUCUGUUGGUCGCACCUUCAAUGCUGUCUCGGUUUGUUUAUAAUGUGCGCUUCGUACAACUCCGUAUCAGCAUAAACACAAACACUGCCGUUUUUUAUGUGCUUAAUCACUCCUGCCUUGUUAACUAUGUAUUGGUUUUGUCAUUCACAGUUUCCGGUCAGCUGAGUGAAAAACACUAUGCCAUCUACUGGAGAGAACUCGUCAAGUUAUGGAAGGAUUUUCAGGAAGCUUUGAAGACUUCGAAGGAACCGUCAUGCCCUGUCUGUGAACCCACGUAUGUAUCUGCCCUGCGCUGCGAAUCCUGCCAGAAAGAGAAUAAGGAAGUCUGCCUGUCUUAUUGUGAAAGUACGUCAUCCUGGAGUUAUAACUUCAGGAAUGCCUCACUGCGUGCAAUUUAUAUCACUCCUAAAAUAUGACUCUCGUAAAAUCUGUCGCAUUGUCCUUGCAAUCCAAGUACGAUGAAUCGAAGUAUUAAUUUUACUCAUUAAAAUCUAUGCAUCGUUCCAUGCAUGUGCAAUGCCUUGAGAUGCUCAAUUUGCAUAACCAGGCAGGGGUAGAGCAACAAGCAGAAACAUUGUAGGAACAUAUUCUUGGUUCAUAUUCUUGUUUUUUUCGGUAAAGUCACGUUGAAGGGAAACAAUAAAAUAAUAAUA
Petromyzon marinus (sea lamprey) is the source of this 1017-nucleotide non-coding RNA. The record is from RefSeq and is a predicted model, not a curated record. NCBI's taxonomy places the organism in Eukaryota, Metazoa, Chordata, Hyperoartia, Petromyzontiformes, Petromyzontidae.